RNAcentral lists this ribosomal RNA (2308 nucleotides) under uncultured Dikarya. RNAcentral's name for it is "eukaryotic LSU rRNA". The stretch from base 1 to 1757 matches the Rfam family "Eukaryotic small subunit ribosomal RNA". Lineage: Eukaryota; Fungi. The record is from RNAcentral.
AAAGAUUAAGCCAUGCAUGUCUAAGUAUAAGCAAUUAUACAGCGAAACUGCGAAUGGCUCAUUAUAUAAGUUAUCGUUUAUUUGAUAGUACCUUACUACUUGGAUAACCGUGGUAAUUCUAGAGCUAAUACAUGCUAAAAAUCCCGACUUCGGAAGGGAUGUAUUUAUUAGAUUAAAAACCAAUGCCCUCUGGGCUCUCUGGUGAUUCAUGAUAACUUCUCGAAUCGCAUGGCCUUGCGCCGGCGAUGGUUCAUUCAAAUUUCUUCCCUAUCAACUUUCGAUGUUUGGGUAUUGGCCAAACAUGGUCGCAACGGGUAACGGAGGGUUAGGGCUCGACCCCGGAGAAGGAGCCUGAGAAACGGCUACUACAUCCAAGGAAGGCAGCAGGCGCGCAAAUUACCCAAUCCCGACACGGGGAGGUAGUGACAAUAAAUACUGAUACAGGGCUCUUUCGGGUCUUGUAAUUGGAAUGAGUACAAUUUAAAUCCCUUAACGAGGAACAAUUGGAGGGCAAGUCUGGUGCCAGCAGCCGCGGUAAUUCCAGCUCCAAUAGCGUAUAUUAAAGUUGUUGUGGUUAAAAAGCUCGUAGUUGAACCUUGGGCCUGGCUGGCCGGUCCGCCUCACCGCGUGUACUGGUCCGGCCGGGCCUUUCCCUCUGUGGAACCUCAUGCCCUUCACUGGGCGUGACGGGGAAACAGGACUUUUACUGUGAAAAAAUUAGAGUGCUCCAGGCAGGCCUAUGCUCGAAUACAUUAGCAUGGAAUAAUGAAAUAGGACGUGCGGUUCUAUUUUGUUGGUUUCUAGGACCGCCGUAAUGAUUAAUAGGGGCAGUCGGGGGCAUCAGUAUUCAAUUGUCAGAGGUGAAAUUCUUGGAUUUAUUGAAGACUAACUACUGCGAAAGCAUUUGCCAAGGAUGUUUUCAUUAAUCAGGAACGAAAGUUAGGGGAUCGAAGACGAUCAGAUACCGUCGUAGUCUUAACCAUAAACUAUGCCGACUAGGGAUCGGACGAUGUAAAUAAUUGACUCGUUCGGCACCUUACGAGAAAUCAAAGUGUUUGGGCUCCAGGGGGAGUAUGGUCGCAAGGCUGAAACUUAAAGAAAUUGACGGAAGGGCACCACCAGGGGUGGAGCCUGCGGCUUAAUUUGACUCAACACGGGGAAACUCACCAGGUCCAGACACAAUGAGGAUUGACAGAUUGAGAGCUCUUUCUUGAUUUUGUGGGUGGUGGUGCAUGGCCGUUCUUAGUUGGUGGAGUGAUUUGUCUGCUUAAUUGCGAUAACGAACGAGACCUUAACCUGCUAAAUAGCCCGUAUUGCUUUGGCAGUACGCUGGCUUCUUAGAGGGACUAUCGGCUCAAGCCGAUGGAAGUUUGAGGCAAUAACAGGUCUGUGAUGCCCCUAGAUGUUCUGGGCCGCACGCGCGCUACACUGACGGAGCCAGCGAGUACUUCCUUGGCCGAAAGGCCCGGGUAAUCUUGUUAAACUCCGUCGUGCUGGGGAUAGAGCAUUGCAAUUAUUGCUCUUCAACGAGGAAUCCCUAGUAAGCGCAAGUCAUCAGCUUGCGUUGAUUACGUCCCUGCCCUUUGUACACACCGCCCGUCGCUACUACCGAUUGAAUGGCUCAGUGAGGCGUCCGGACUGGCCCAGGGAGGUGGGCAACUACCACCCAGGGCCGGAAAGCUCUCCAAACUCGGUCAUUUAGAGGAAGUAAAAGUCGUAACAAGGUCUCCGUUGGUGAACCAGCGGAGGGAUCAUUAUCGAGUUUAUCAACUCCCAACCCUAUGUGAACCUACCUUUAUGUUGCUUCGGCGGUGCCGCGCCGGGUUGCCCCCAGCGGGCUCCCGGGACCACGCGCCCGCCGGAGACCACAAACUCUUGAUUUUGCGAAAGCAGUAUUCUUCUGAGUGGCCGAAAGGCAAAAAACAAAUGAAUCAAAACUUUCAACAACGGAUCUCUUGGUUCUGGCAUCGAUGAAGAACGCAGCGAAAUGCGAUAAGUAAUGUGAAUUGCAGAAUUCAGUGAAUCAUCGAAUCUUUGAACGCACAUUGCGCCCGCCAGCAUUCUGGCGGGCAUGCCUGUUCGAGCGUCAUUUCAACCCUCGAGCUCGUCUUCAUUGACGAGAUCGGUGUUGGGACCCGGCAAAGCGGACCCAGUCCGGCGCCGGCCCCGAAAUUCAGUGGCGGCCCGUUGCGGCGACCUCUGCGUAGUAACUUAACCUCGCAGUGGAAGAGCAGCGCGGCCACGCCGUAAAACCCCCGACUUUUUUAAGGUUGACCUCGAAUCAGGUAGGACUACCCGCUGAACUUAA